RNAcentral lists this ribosomal RNA (292 nucleotides) under uncultured bacterium. RNAcentral describes it as "partial 16S ribosomal RNA". The record is from RNAcentral.
GGACUACAAGGGUUUCUAAUCCUGUUUGCUCCCCACGCUUUCGCGCCUCAGCGUCAGUAUCGGGCCAGUGUGUCGCCUUCGCCACUGGUGUUCUGCCGAAUAUCUACGAAUUUCACCUCUACACUCGGCGUUCCACACACCUCUCCCGAACUCAAGACAGCCAGUAUCAAAGGCAGUUCCAAGGUUGAGCCCUGGGCUUUCACCUCUGACUAAACUGUCCGCCUACGCGCCCUUUACGCCCAGUAAUUCCGAGCAACGCUAGCCCCCUUCGUAUUACCGCGGCGGCUGGCAC